RNAcentral lists this ribosomal RNA (433 nucleotides) under uncultured bacterium. Its description in RNAcentral is "partial 16S ribosomal RNA". It matches the Rfam family "Bacterial small subunit ribosomal RNA", at positions 29 to 507 of the family's 1533-position model. The record is from RNAcentral.
AACGAACGCUGGCGGCAUGCCUAACACAUGCAAGUCGAAAGAGACCUUCGGGUCUAGUGGCGCACGGGUGCGUAACGCGUGGGAACCUGCCCUUAGGUUCGGAAUAACUCCCCGAAAGGGGUGCUAAUACCGGAUAAUGUCUUCGGACCAAAGAUUUAUCGCCUUUGGAUGGGCCCGCGUUGGAUUAGCUAGUUGGUAGGGUAAAAGCCUACCAAGGCGACGAUCCAUAGCUGGUCUGAGAGGAUGAUCAGCCACACUGGGACUGAGACACGGCCCAGACUCCUACGGGAGGCAGCAGUGGGGAAUAUUGGACAAUGGGCGAAAGCCUGAUCCAGCAAUGCCGCGUGAGUGAUGAAGGCCUUAGGGUUGUAAAGCUCUUUUACCCGGGAUGAUAAUGACAGUACCGGGAGAAUAAGCGCCGGCUAACUCCGUG